UACAGAGGGUGCAAGCGUUAAUCGGAAUUACUGGGCGUAAAGGGUGCGUAGGUGGUUUAAUAAGUUAGGUGUGAAAGCCCCGGGCUUAACCUGGGAAUUGCGCCUAAUACUGUUUGACUGGAGUACUGUAGAGGAAAGUGGAAUUUCCGGUGUAGCGGUGAAAUGCGUAGAUAUCGGAAGGAACACCAGUGGCGAAGGCGACUUUCUGGACAGAUACUGACACUGAGGCACGAAAGCGUGGGGAGCAAACAGG
This 253-nucleotide ribosomal RNA is filed under the name uncultured bacterium. Its description in RNAcentral is "partial 16S ribosomal RNA". It matches the Rfam family "Bacterial small subunit ribosomal RNA", at positions 524 to 776 of the family's 1533-position model. The record is from RNAcentral.